GCCCUUAGAGUUUGAUCCUGGCUCAGAACGAACGCUGGCGGCAGGCCUAACACAUGCAAGUCGAGCGCACCUUUCGGGGUGAGCGGCGGACGGGUUAGUAACGCGUGGGAAUAUACCCUUUGGUACGGAAUAGCCUCUGGAAACGGAGAGUAAUACCGUAUGAGCCCUUCGGGGGAAAGAUUUAUCGCCAAAGGAUUAGCCCGCGUUAGAUUAGGUAGUUGGUGGGGUAAUGGCCUACCAAGCCUACGAUCUAUAGCUGGUUUUAGAGGAUGAUCAGCAACACUGGGACUGAGACACGGCCCAGACUCCUACGGGAGGCAGCAGUGGGGAAUCUUGGACAAUGGGCGCAAGCCUGAUCCAGCCAUGCCGCGUGAGUGAUGAAGGCCUUAGGGUCGUAAAGCUCUUUCGCCUGUGAAGAUAAUGACGGUAGCAGGUAAAGAAACCCCGGCUAACUCCGUGCCAGCAGCCGCGGUAUAAGGGCG
Molecule: ribosomal RNA, 482 nt
Filed under: uncultured bacterium
Lineage: Bacteria
Description: bacterial SSU rRNA
Rfam family: Bacterial small subunit ribosomal RNA
Source: RNAcentral